GGGUAAAUGCCAAAAUCUUUGCAUUGUCUGUUGAGAGGUGAUGAUUUAAAGACAUGCUCAAUAGAAUUUUGCUGAGGACU
This 80-nucleotide small nucleolar RNA is filed under the name Carlito syrichta (Philippine tarsier). RNAcentral describes it as "Small nucleolar RNA SNORD115 (ENSTSYG00000024749.2)". It matches the Rfam family "Small nucleolar RNA SNORD115". From Rfam's summary of the family: HBII-52 is a member of the C/D class of snoRNAs, which contain the C (UGAUGA) and D (CUGA) box motifs. Lineage: Eukaryota; Metazoa; Chordata; Mammalia; Primates; Tarsiidae. The record is from Rfam by way of RNAcentral.